Molecule: ribosomal RNA, 497 nt
Filed under: uncultured bacterium
Lineage: Bacteria
Description: partial 16S ribosomal RNA
Rfam family: Bacterial small subunit ribosomal RNA
Source: RNAcentral
GAUGAACGCUGGCGGCGUGCCUAAUACAUGCAAGUCGAGCGAACAGACGAGGAGCUUGCUCCUCUGACGUUAGCGGCGGAAGGGUGAGUAACACGUGGAUAACCUACCUAUAAGACUGGGAGAACUUCGGGAAACCGGAGCUAAUACCGGAUAAUAUAUUGAACCGCAUGGUUCAAUAGUGAAAGACGGUUUUGCUGGCAAUUAUAGAUGGAAACGCGCCGCAUUAGUUAGUUGGUAAGGUAACGGCUUACCAAGGCGACGAUGCGUAGCCGACCUGAGAGGGUGAUCGGCCACACUGGAACUGAGACACGGUCCACACUCCUACGGGAGGCAGCAGUAGGGAAUCUUCCGCAAUGGGCGAAAGCCUGACGGAGCAACGCCGCGUGAGUGAUGAAGGUCUUCGGAUCGUAAAACUCUGUUAUUAGGGAAGAACAAAUGUGUAAGUAACUAUGCACGUCUUGACGGUACCUAAUCAGAAAGCCACGGCUAACUACGUG